RNAcentral lists this ribosomal RNA (276 nucleotides) under Triticum aestivum (bread wheat). Its description in RNAcentral is "partial small subunit ribosomal RNA". The record is from RNAcentral. Lineage: Eukaryota; Viridiplantae; Streptophyta; Magnoliopsida; Poales; Poaceae.
ACCUUUUUCCCUGGUGGAGAAGAGUUUUACACAGCAGUGAUUGCGGCUGUGUGUUGGGCGAUUUGGUCUUGUCGCAACAGAGCUACUUUCGAAUUCAAGCCGCUUAAAAACCCGUUUGAAUGCAUCUUUUCUGCUUGUGCUUUAAUGUGUUACUGGGCAGGGCUGCUGAAGCAAGAAGAUGCGGCGACCAUGAGGGACGGGGCAAAGAUGCUGAAGGAGAACCCAUCGAUGACGAUGAGAAUCUGCGCGGCAAGUCAAGAGGGAGCGGCGCGCUGA